AGUGAACGCUGGCGGUAGGCCUACACAUGCAAGUCGAACGGCAGCACAGGAGAGCUUGCUCUCUGGGUGGCGAGUGGCGGACGGGUGAGGAAUACAUCGGAAUCUACUCUGUCGUGGGGGAUAACGUAGGGAAGCUUACGCUAAUACCGCAUACGACCUACGGGUGAAAGCAGGGGACCUUCGGGCCUUGCGCGAUUGAAUGAGCCGAUGUCGGAUUAGCUAGUUGGCGGGGUGAAGGCCCACCAAGGCGACGAUCCGUAGCUGGUCUGAGAGGACGAUCAGCCACACUGGAACUGAGACACGGUCCAGACUCCUACGGGAGGCAGCAGUGGGGAAUAUUGGACAAUGGGCGCAGGCCUGAUCCAGCCAUACCGCGUGGGUGAAGAAGGCCUUCGGGUUGUAAAGCCCUUUUGUUGGGAAAGAAAUCCAGCUGGCUAAUACCCGGUUGGGAUGACGGUACCCAAAGAAUAAGCACCGGCUAACUUCGUGCCAGCCGCCGCCGUAA
Molecule: ribosomal RNA, 505 nt
Filed under: uncultured bacterium
Lineage: Bacteria
Description: partial 16S ribosomal RNA
Rfam family: Bacterial small subunit ribosomal RNA
Source: RNAcentral